GGGCCUGUGGUGGAAGGGCUAACACGUUCGCUUCACAGGCGAAAGAUUCCCGGUUCAAAUCCGGGCAGGCCCA
RNAcentral lists this transfer RNA (73 nucleotides) under Microcaldota archaeon. Its description in RNAcentral is "Candidatus Micrarchaeota archaeon (hot springs metagenome) tRNA-Val". It matches the Rfam family "tRNA". From Rfam's summary of the family: Transfer RNA (tRNA) molecules are approximately 80 nucleotides in length. The record is from RNAcentral. Lineage: Archaea; Nanobdellati; Microcaldota. RNAcentral also lists the same sequence under 1 other name.